UCCCCCAUCCGUCCCCCCUCCCCCCCGGUCGCACUCGUUCUGCUGCUCCCCGCAUCGUCGCCGUCCUCCUCCUCCGCCGCGGCGCCUCGACGCGGAGAGAUCCGCGCGCGGGGCCUGGCCGCCGUCGCUUCGUCAGAUUGGACAGAUUAUCACUCAGUUGGGGGAAUAGCGGAAUAGUAUUUUGACUUCCUCUUGCCUUGAUCGUUCUUUGGGCAUCAUCACAAUGUCAGGAUCACUGAAUUCAAAUAUUGGUGGGGAUUCAACAGGAAGGCCAUUCACAUCAACCUUUUCUGGCUUGCAUAAUAUCCACGGAAAUCUCAAUCUUGCAUCACUAUCGCCAAGGAAUGCUUCAUUGUCAGGUAUUCCAUCCCCAGGUGUUCAACAACCUGGCGGCAAUAUUUCUGGUAGCCGGUUUCCCUCAAAUAACCUUCCAGUGUCCAUGUCUCAGAUUUCUCAUGGCCAUUCUGGGAUCAGCAACAGAGGAGCUUCUUCAGUUUUGGGGAACUUAGGCCCACGGAUAGCAAAUUCUGGGGGCAAUAUAGUGGGUGGCAGCAGUAUUGGCAGAAGCAUAAGCUCAGCAGGAAUGUCCAUGCCUGGUAUUGCAUCUCGUAUCAAUUCGAGCGGCAACUCUGGAAGUGGGGCUCUUAAUAUCCCAUCCAAUCGACUGAGUGGUAUGCAUCAAGCGUCGCCACAGUUCAUGAACAUUCUUGGGAGUUCUUAUCCAACACCUGGAGGAACGCUAUCUCAGAACCAAGUUCAGGCAGGAAGCAAUUCUUUUAGUUCUUCUGGAAUGCUACAUGAAGGAAACUCUGGUGACAAUUCUCCGUUUGACAUAAAUGAUUUUCCCCAGUUAACUGGGCGUCCUAAUUCUGCUGGAGGUGGUCAAGGGCAAUAUGGGUCACUGCGAAAGCAAGGCGUAAGUGUAAAUGCUAUUGUGCAACAAAACCAGGAGUUCAGCAUUCAGAAUGAAGAUUUUCCAGCUUUACCAGGAUAUAAAGGCAAUUCGUCAGAUUAUGGUAUGGAUUUGCAUCACAAGGACCACCUUCAUGAGAAUGCAAAUAUUAUGCAGGCACAACAUUUUCCUAUGGGUAGAUCAUCUGGCUUUAAUUUGGGAGGUAGCUAUCCACCCCGCCAACAACAGCAGCAGAGCACUACUUCGGUUCAAAAUGGUCUUGAUAAUAUUGGGCUAAGGCCGAUAAAUUCUCCAAGUCCGUCUUCUAAUUCGGGGUCUUAUGAGCAACUCAUCCAGCAAUACCAUCAACCGCAGACUCAGAAUUCACUUAGGUCGCAGACGUCUUCGGGCCAACAGUCAUCCAAGGAUCAGAGUCAAAAGUCUGCUCAGGGAAAAGAAACUGUGCCAGACCCAUAUAGUUUACUUGGAUUGUUGAACUUAAUAAAAUCGAAAGAGCCUGGACCAACAGCUCUUGCUUUAGGGCUUGAUUUAACUACACUAGGGUUGAAUUUGAACUCCCCAGAUUGUCUUUGGAAGACAUUUGGCUCUCCAUGGUCAAAUGAGCCAGCUAAAGGAGAACCUGAUUAUCAGAUCCCUGCUUGUUACUCUGCUGAGCAACCUCCACCACUGCAGCCAUUCAAUUUUCCAAAGUUUCACCCCUUGACACUAUUCUACAUCUUCUACAGUAUGCCGAAGGAUGUUGCUCAGUUAUAUGCCGCGAAUGAACUAUAUAACAAAGGGUGGUUUUACCACAGAGAGUAUCGUGUGUGGCUCACACGAGCUUCAAAUGUGGCGCCUCUUGUGAAAACUCCACUGUAUGAACGAGGAUCCUACAUUUGUUUUGAUCCCAACCUGUGGGAUACAAUUCAGAAGGACAACUUUGUGCUCCAAUAUGAAUCUGUAGAGAAGAGACCUGUCCUACCUUCCACCAGCCAAAACGUUAGAUUAUAAGCUGUUGUACUUCUGUAUUAGAGAAUGUCGAUUUUCUUCAUCCGGAUCAGUACCUGUUAUUAUCAUAGGAUAUAGGUGGCGUACAUUUGUGCAAAAUGAUUCUGACUUGUGUGCUGUUCCGAAGAAGGAGCUUCUCUGUGUUGGCUGGCAGCCCUGAUGGUAGCUUUAGACAUGUAGCCGAGGAAAAUGUGCCUCAUUAAUCCGUUGGCUGUAAACCAGUAGGGUCAAUUUGGUAUUGUGGGCUGUAAUUGACUUGAGUCUUUUAGCUUUCGUAAAAAUCAGACCUGUACUCUUUAUCUAUGAGUUAAUUACCGGUACUUUGGAUUUACAAUGUGCCCCUCGUUUUUAAUAGUCUGGGAAUGAUGCUCGUGAUUUGCUUGU
Molecule: ribosomal RNA, 2284 nt
Filed under: Triticum aestivum (bread wheat)
Lineage: Eukaryota; Viridiplantae; Streptophyta; Magnoliopsida; Poales; Poaceae
Description: partial small subunit ribosomal RNA
Source: RNAcentral